UACGUAGGGUGCGAGCGUUGUCCGGAAUUAUUGGGCGUAAAGGGCUCGUAGGCGGUUUGUCGCGUCGGGAAUGAAAACACCGGGCUUAACUCGGUGCUUGCUUUCGAUACGGGCAGACUAGAGGCAUGCAGGGGAGAACGGAAUUCCUGGUGUAGCGGUGAAAUGCGCAGAUAUCAGGAGGAACACCGGUGGCGAAGGCGGUUCUCUGGGCAUGUCCUGACGCUGAGGAGCGAAAGUGUGGGGAGCGAACAGG
Molecule: ribosomal RNA, 253 nt
Filed under: uncultured bacterium
Lineage: Bacteria
Description: partial 16S ribosomal RNA
Rfam family: Bacterial small subunit ribosomal RNA
Source: RNAcentral